GACGAACGCUGGCGGCGUGCCUAAUACAUGCAAGUCGAGCGAGCUUGCCUAGAUGAUUUUAGUGCUUGCACUAAAUGAAACUAGAUACAAGCGAGCGGCGGACGGGUGAGUAACACGUGGGUAACCUGCCCAAGAGACUGGGAUAACACCUGGAAACAGAUGCUAAUACCGGAUAACAACACUAGACGCAUGUCUAGAGUUUGAAAGAUGGUUCUGCUAUCACUCUUGGAUGGACCUGCGGUGCAUUAGCUAGUUGGUAAGGUAACGGCUUACCAAGGCAAUGAUGCAUAGCCGAGUUGAGAGACUGAUCGGCCACAUUGGGACUGAGACACGGCCCAA
Molecule: ribosomal RNA, 339 nt
Filed under: uncultured bacterium
Lineage: Bacteria
Description: bacterial SSU rRNA
Rfam family: Bacterial small subunit ribosomal RNA
Source: RNAcentral